UGCCCAGUAAUGGGCAAAAGAGACACCUUGUUAGUGGUGGUGUUCUUAUAUCAGUCUGGGGGCAGAGCAGAUGGCAGUUCUUUGUACAUCUGAGCUUGAUGACUGGCUUUGGUGGCCAAAGCUGUCUGAUGCCUAGGACUCAUAA
Molecule: small nucleolar RNA, 145 nt
Organism: Arvicanthis niloticus (Nile rat)
Lineage: Eukaryota; Metazoa; Chordata; Mammalia; Rodentia; Muridae
Product: small nucleolar RNA SNORA48
Source: RefSeq, a predicted model, not a curated record